RNAcentral lists this ribosomal RNA (435 nucleotides) under uncultured Oscillospiraceae bacterium. Its description in RNAcentral is "partial 16S ribosomal RNA". It matches the Rfam family "Bacterial small subunit ribosomal RNA", at positions 341 to 792 of the family's 1533-position model. The record is from RNAcentral. Lineage: Bacteria; Bacillati; Bacillota; Clostridia; Eubacteriales; Oscillospiraceae.
ACGGAAGGCAGCAGUGGGGAAUAUUGGGCAAUGGGCGCAAGCCUGACCCAGCAACGCCGCGUGAAGGAAGAAGGCUUUCGGGUUGUAAACUUCUUUGACGAGGGACGAAGAAUGACGGUACCUCGAAAACAAGCCACGGCUAACUACGUGCCAUCAGCCGCGGUAAUACGUAGGUUGCAAGCGUUGUCCGGAUUUACUGGGUGUAAAGGGCGCGUAGGCGGGUCUACAAGUCAGAUGUGAAAUCUAUGGGCUUAACCCAUAACGUGCAUUUGAAACUGUAGGUCUUGAGUGAUGGAGAGGCAGGCGGAAUUCCUAGUGUAGCGGUGAAAUGCGUAGAUAUUGGGAGGAACACCAGUGGCGAAGGCGACCUGCUGGACAUUAACUGACGCUGAGGCGCGAAAGCGUGGGGAGCAAACAGGAUUAGAUACCCUGGUA